AGCAGUCGCCGCGGUAAUACGUAGGGUGCAAGCGUUAAUCGGAAUUACUGGGCGUAAAGCGUGCGCAGGCGGUUUGUUAAGACAGAUGUGAAAUCCCCGGGCUCAACCUGGGAACUGCAUUUGUGACUGGCAAGCUAGAGUAUGGCAGAGGGGGGUGGAAUUCCGCGUGUAGCAGUGAAAUGCGUAGAUAUGCGGAGGAACACCGAUGGCGAAGGCGGCAACCUGGUCCUUAACUGACGCUGAGGCGCGAAAGCGUGGGGAGCAAACAGGAUUAGAUACCCCCGUAGUCCCUGUCUCUUAUAC
RNAcentral lists this ribosomal RNA (303 nucleotides) under uncultured bacterium. RNAcentral describes it as "partial 16S ribosomal RNA". It matches the Rfam family "Bacterial small subunit ribosomal RNA", at positions 507 to 807 of the family's 1533-position model. The record is from RNAcentral.